This is a long non-coding RNA of Bombus pyrosoma, 2102 nucleotides long. RefSeq lists it as uncharacterized. The record is from RefSeq and is a predicted model, not a curated record. Lineage: Eukaryota; Metazoa; Arthropoda; Insecta; Hymenoptera; Apidae. The transcript has 3 exons.
UCUUGAGGAUGAAGGGAUCGUUUGUUCUAAAUUCUCCGUUUCAUUUGCGUCAUCGAAGAACUUUGUCACUUCUAUAAUUUAAUUCAACCCUAAUAUUUAACUUUAAUGAUUUUACAUUUCGUUAUAACUUUUACUUACUUUUGACUUAUCUUUAAGCGCGGAUAUGAUACGGAGCAAUACGAUUUUGACCUCGACGAGCUCCACAAAUCUGCUACAGCGUUAGAAACGAAGAAACACUAACAUUGAAAUAAUAUCGUGGCAGUAAACGAGACAAUUUCUUUGCAACAAAAUCGUCCAUUCAGUUCGUGAUCCUGGCACUCGUAUUAUGUAAAUCGCCGCGCGACAAAGUUCGUUAAAGGUCUUCGAAGUAUGCUGUUGACUUACAUCACGAUGCCAAGAAGUGCAUCGAUUUUGAGUUAAUGUUACGGUGGAUCUGAUAUGUGAAAUUAUGAAGAUUGGUUCACAUGCAUAAUACAUACUGCACAAAGAAGAGAAGACCGAAAGGGAACAACAGCAGGCGAAAUCGCAAGAAGAAGAAGAAGUAAAAGAAGCCAAGAAGAAGAAUAAAUAGAAGAAUAAGAAAUAAAAGGAGCCAAGAAGAUCAGUGGUUCUUUUGUUCGGAUUCCUCUUCUUGUUCACCGAAUUUAUUGCAUGACCAAUCAUUGGACUCCCUUUUGCACAGCCACGGAAACGUUCUUGGGUUGCAGCAAGUUUCUGCUCGCAACUCGGCCUGUUACUCUCGCGUUUGCGGAGACGGUUAUAUGUAAAUGAGGAACAGAGAACUUGUAGCGAAGAUCGAAGUAAGACCGCGACCGACCAUUCCAAGGGCAUGUUUAAGGUCCAAAGAACGUUGCAACCGGACGAAAUAUUAAAUAUUAAUCGCCGUAUGAAACUUCCUUACGGUAGAUACAUCGGCUCGUGAACGGGGUUGUACCAAGUUUUUAUGGGUGUAUCGAAGUAAGUCGUAUGUCGACGAAGUUCGACAAGACAAUGGGGAUUGAAGAACUUCCCAUAAGAAUUCCAAUACGAUGCAGGAAUUUUUUGUAUCGAAGAUCGUAUAAUACUCUGUGGCUAUACUUUGAUACUAGAAUUAUCGGUAACUACAAGAGUAUGAAUGUUUUACCAAAGAAAUUGAAGUGGAAGAUACAUAGAGGAAUACAUUAGGAACAACUAUAUGUAGGUAUAUUUUGCAACAUUGAUAAUUUACAUUUCUUAGAGAAAGUUAUUCAAAUCCUUUUAAAUGUAAUUAUGAAUUUGCAAUUUUACUACCAUUCCUAAUUAUAGUUUUUUUUUUAUCUAAUUGUUUAAAGUAAAAGAUUAUUCAACCAUUCGAUAACGAAAGAAUAUUUUUUUCUUCGAAAAAAUUUUUUAAAAAUGUGAAAACAACCGAUAUAUGUGGAAAAGAAUAGUUCACCCACUCAUGAAAAUUCGCGGUUUGAGCAGAAAAACCGCAACCAGAAUAUUGCAUCCCCAUCACGAGGGAAGCGCACGGUGAAAAAUUAAAACAGCAUUCCGUGCCUUAUAAAGAGUUCUGUUGUCUCGUUACGCGGGAUGCACGAGAACGUGCAUGGCGGAUGCUGUUGGUGCACGUGUGCAGCGUAAAUCUCUUAACCUUACUGAUGUGACCGUGUGUAGAGGAAAGAGAGGAAAGCACUGUGCAGACAUAAACUCAGGAAUGGGAACAAACACCGUCGGACAGUGUUCGUUGCAAAGAGAAGCGAACUUGCAACGUUGUUGGGCCCGGCCAGAAAAUAUCGAGGGCUGAAAUAAUAGCGAAGGAAUAGAGAUCUCUCCUGCCGAAGAACUCCGAUAUCCAGUUAGUUAAUAUUAAUGUGCACGUACUGAGAAUUUCCAGUUAUCCACGAUUUUGUCAAUUUUAGUAUAAUCGAACUAGUUUCGAAUCGGUUAUGUAACAAUAUAUUUUCUAAUUGCUUUUAGUAGAUUGAUAGUAAUUUUGUUUAUGGAAAUGUCCAUUUGUAUGAUUGCAACUAAAGAAGUGAAACUAAAGUUUUGAUGCACGUAAUAAAUGUUAUUAAUAAACGUACGAUAAAUAGUAACGCAAUAAUUUAGUCAGCGUGUAUAUUUCAUUUCUCAAACAGAGA